This is a long non-coding RNA of Nematostella vectensis (starlet sea anemone), 1136 nucleotides long. RefSeq lists it as uncharacterized. The record is from RefSeq and is a predicted model, not a curated record. Lineage: Eukaryota; Metazoa; Cnidaria; Anthozoa; Actiniaria; Edwardsiidae. The transcript is spliced from 2 exons.
CUUUCCCCUCCAUCCUUGGUCAGCAUCUGUCGGACAUGCUAACGCUCAUGUUUUUAAUUUAUGUUUUUUUUUAAUGAUAAAGAAUACAAAUUGAAAUGAAAGACAAGUCACGCGGAAAAAAAGACAGGAAGCCCAACUCCAAUAUUUAGAACUCUAGGAACGCCUGGUAAAAGUAAUAUUUUGGGAUUUUCAAAAUGGACUUCAAGUCUGAGUUUGCACGGUUAGAGCCUUCAUUGAGAACAAGAAUCAAACGAGUUGGCAUCAUAUCAGGGGUCUGGAGUACCUUUAUUUUUGGAAGUGCUGCAGUGUUCUAUUUUUCCAAGCCGUACCUGGACAAGCGUCGCAAGGAGAGAGAAGGUUUGUUCGAGGAUACGGAAAACACCAACAGAGCGAUGAAGACGUAACGAACCAGACAUGAACUUUCGUCCCGUCCCGUGAGACUGUGAAAUUAAUCAAGGGGAUUUUGAACCGAAACAAGAAGCAAAGUCUAAAGACAUUACUUGCGGCACCAAACAGUGAAUCAGUAUUGGACAUGGAAUAGGUGCGAAGGUUAAUGGAAAAGUUAAAAGUUUUUCAACAUAGCUAGCGUCGCAGAAUUAUAAACAGGGAUUCUAGGGAGCUAAAAAAACUUUCUAAGACGAAAAUAAUUCAAGGACCUAAAACGGUCUUAAAAGAUUUAUUGCUUUUACUAAUAAUUCUAACAGUUUCUGGAUAUGCGACUUAAAUUAUAUCCGACCAUCUGGUGUAGUUAAAUCCUUUGUUUCACUUUAGAUGAAUUAGGUUUCAAUUUAUCAUUAUUAUUGCCUGUGAUUAUUUCUUUCCUCUUAAUUCUUAUGCCAUAAAAAUGCUUAACAAUUCGACGAAAACAAAUGACCAAAGUGUUACUAUGGUAACCAAACGACUAAAUGCAAAAAAUGUCGAUUUCAAUAAUACUAGAAUUUUUUAAAUAUCGUCUUACUUCUCCCGGUUGUUUGUCGCGUGUAAUAAGAUCUCAGAAAGAAACUUUAGAUUAAGCUCUUUUUUUCUCAGUCAUUCUAGUUAGUCUUUAAAAUGAAGUCAUGUUAACGUGUUAUUGUGCUUAGCCAAAACAUAUGUGAUAUGUGUCUCCUAAAAGUCCUAAAAAAGUCAAAACCUUC